UGUGGGUUGUGAAUAACAAUUCGUGCCGUCGCAAACGCAAUAAGUACCCCGCCUGAGGAGUACGAUCGCAAGAUUAAAACUCAAAGGAAUUGACGGGGACCCGCACAAGCAGCGGAGCAUGUGGUUUAAUUCGAAGCAACGCGAAGAACCUUACCAGGGCUUGACAUAUAGAGGAAUAAACUAGAGAUAGUUUAGCUCUUCGGAGUCUCUAUACAGGUGGUGCAUGGUUGUCGUCAGCUCGUGUCGUGAGAUGUUGGGUUAAGUCCCGCAACGAGCGCAACCCCUGUUCUUAGUUGCCAGCGAGUAGAGUCGGGAACUCUAAGAAGGCUGCCGGUGAUAAAUCGGAGGAAGGUGGGGACGACGUCAAAUCAUCAUGCCCUCUAUGUCCUGGGCUACACACGUACUACAAUGGCUAUAACAAAGGGAAGCGAAACCGCGAGGUGGAGCAAAACCCAAAAAAGUAGUCUCAGUUCGGAUUGAAGGCUGAAAUUCGCCUUCAUGAAGCCGGAAUUGCUAGUAAUGGCAGGUCAGCAUACUGCCGUGAAUACGUUCCCGGGCCUUGUACACACCGCCCGUCACACCAUGAGAGUUGGGAAUACCCGAAGCCUGUGGGCUAACC
RNAcentral lists this ribosomal RNA (619 nucleotides) under Candidatus Arthromitus sp. SFB-mouse. RNAcentral's name for it is "bacterial SSU rRNA". It matches the Rfam family "Bacterial small subunit ribosomal RNA", at positions 821 to 1440 of the family's 1533-position model. Lineage: Bacteria; Bacillati; Bacillota; Clostridia; Eubacteriales; Clostridiaceae. The record is from RNAcentral.